UACGUAGGCAGCGAGCGUUGUUCGGAGUUACUGGGCGUAAAGGGUGCGCAGGCGGUGGAGCAAGUCUGUUGUGAAAUCUCCCGGCUUAACCGGGAGGGUGCGGCGGAAACUGUUCUGCUGGAGUGAGGGAGAGGCAAGCGGAAUUCCCGGUGUAGUGGUGGAAUGCGUAGAUAUCGGGAGGAACACCAGUGGCGCAGGCGGCGUCCUGGACCGGCACUGACGCUGAGGAGCGAAAGCGUGGGGAGCGAUCCGG
This 253-nucleotide ribosomal RNA is filed under the name uncultured bacterium. RNAcentral describes it as "partial 16S ribosomal RNA". It matches the Rfam family "Bacterial small subunit ribosomal RNA", at positions 524 to 776 of the family's 1533-position model. The record is from RNAcentral.